UAAAGACUCUUGGCAACGGAUAUCUAGGCUCUUGCAUCGAURAAGAACGUAGCGAAAUGCGAUACUUGGUGUGAAUUGCAGAAUCCCGUGAAUCAUCGAGUCUUUGAACGCAAGUUGCGCCCGAAGCCUUUUGGCCGAGGGCACGUCUGCCUGGGCGUCAUGA
RNAcentral lists this ribosomal RNA (163 nucleotides) under Castelnavia princeps. RNAcentral's name for it is "5.8S ribosomal RNA". It matches the Rfam family "5.8S ribosomal RNA". Rfam says of the family: 5.8S ribosomal RNA (5.8S rRNA) is a component of the large subunit of the eukaryotic ribosome. It is transcribed by RNA polymerase I as part of the 45S precursor that also contains 18S and 28S rRNA. The record is from RNAcentral. Lineage: Eukaryota; Viridiplantae; Streptophyta; Magnoliopsida; Malpighiales; Podostemaceae.